AAUAGGUGAAUGAGGUUAAGAGUGCACGUAUCAUGUUGAGCACUGAGUAAUAUAUGGAACUGUCUAAUCACUAUGCUGUACACCUGAAACUAAAAUAAUACUGUAUGUUAGCUACACUUGAAUUAAAAGUAAAAAAUGGUAAAAGGAAAAGAAAAAGAAAAGAAAACAAAGUACAAAUUAUAGGAAGAUAUUUGUAAUAUAUACAACCCAAAGAAGUCUAAUAUCAAGAAUAUGUAAAUCCAAUGUAUAUCUAAUAUUUGACUGACAAAAAUUAAGAAGUCUUAAAAUGUGGAGAGAUGGAGAGAUGGGGAUCAAACCAAUUUUUCUGCAUUGCUAGUGCAAGUUGAUAAUUCAAUACAACCUCAUUAGAAAACCUGCCAUUGUCUGUAAUGGUAAAAAUUUGUAUACCCCGUGACUCAGCCAUUUUACUUACAGUUUAGCCCUAAGUAUUUGGACACCUGUACAAGAACAUUGAUUGUAGUUCUCUCUGACACAGGAAAACAAUCAAUCUGGAAACAGCCCAAGUGCUCUUGAGGGAAUGAGAAAAUGAAUGGUGCUGUAUUCACAGAAUGGGAUACUAUACAGCAGUGAAAACUUAAAAAACUACAGCUAGAUGCAACAAAGCCAUUAUUAGAGUGGAAAUUAGCUGGGACCCAGUGCUUAGAAAGACUUCAUGUUAUUCUUCUACCAGAAAACCAGGAGACCUUUGGGGACCUCCAAUGCAGUUCUGUCAUCACUAACCCUUUCUGAUCUGUAUGGAAAAAGAAAGAAUUCUUCUAAACAGCACAGCAACACCUUCGUCCACCAACCUGGGAGCAUGAAUAGAAUCACAGAGUACCAGUGCCUUGUCUUGCUUAUGUUCCAUCUACUCAGCAUGUCUGAAAUCCUGCCCAGGUGA
This 898-nucleotide long non-coding RNA is filed under the name Ursus thibetanus thibetanus. Its description in RNAcentral is "lncRNA (ENSUTTG00000001849.1)". The record is from RNAcentral. Lineage: Eukaryota; Metazoa; Chordata; Mammalia; Carnivora; Ursidae.